Molecule: small RNA, 546 nt
Filed under: Pongo abelii (Sumatran orangutan)
Lineage: Eukaryota; Metazoa; Chordata; Mammalia; Primates; Hominidae
Description: retained intron
Source: RNAcentral
UUUUGAAAUUGCUGAAGCUCUUGAAAUUGGAAGGUAGGCAGUAGUAGUCUUUUCAGUAAUAAUGUGCUCCCAUGCCUCUCUGCUAUUCAUACAAGGAUUGGAUGAAACCUCUCUCUUUUCCCUGCUUUGCUUGUUUCAGGAUAUAAGUCAGAGUACAGCUGAAAAUGUCUACUGAACGGACUUCUUGGACAAGCCUGUCCACCAUUCAGAAAAUAGCCUUGGGCCUUGGGAUCCCAGCCAGUGCAACAAUUGCCUAUAUCCUAUACCGCAGGUAUAGGGAAAGCAGAGAAGAGCGGCUGACAUUUGUUGGGGAAGAUGACAUUGAGAUAGAGAUGCGGGUUCCCCAGGAGGCUGUGAAACUCAUCAUUGGCCGGCAAGGAGCCAAUAUUAAACAGCUGCGGAAACAGACAGGUGCUCGGAUUGAUGUGGACACAGAGGAUGUAGGCGAUGAGCGAGUGCUGCUUAUCAGUGGUUUUCCUGUUCAGGUGUGCAAGGCCAAAGCAGCAAUCCAUCAGAUCCUGACAGAGAAUACCCCAGUGUCUGAGC